GGCAAAUCCCCCAUAAUUACGGGUUAAUUAGAUUUUUAAUUUUUUUUAAAUGAAAAAAUAAACUAUCUUUAUUUUUAAUUACAUGUUUUUUCAUUGAUUUUUCCUUUUUUUUUUCAAGCUUUUUUCUUUUUCUUUACCUUCUCUUCUUUCUUGCUGGUCUACACAUCAGUUUCUUCGAUUUGUUGAUCUAACCUUUACUCUCUGGAUCUUUCCCUUCAAUGGCCACUGAAGAUCCUGGAGAGAGAAACCAAAUUAGCCAAAGUAAAGUGAGUGGCUUCGUAGUGAAUUAUAUCAGUUUUUGAUGAAUUAAUUGCUAAAGGGCCUAACUUUGGCGAGGAAUUUUUUUGGGGGGGUGUUUUUAUCUAGUCUGAGGUUUGUGGGUCGGGUUUGAUUUGUUUGGAUUUGAUAUGGGUGGGUGUUUUCCUUGUUUUGGAUCAUCAAACAAGGAGGGCAGUGGUGGUGGUGCUGCCGUCAAAGAAGUGGCUAAGAAGGAUUCGGUCAAAGAAGGCUCAGUUGCUCAGUCUCACCAUGUUAGUAGAGUUAGCUCAGACAAAUCAAAAUCCCGAAAUGGUUCUGAUCCUAAGAAGGAGCCAGCAAUUCCUAAAGAUGGACCAACUGCCAAUAUUGCAGCACAAACAUUUACAUUCAAAGAGCUUGCUGCUGUGACGAAGAACUUCAGACCAGAGUGUCUGUUGGGUGAAGGGGGAUUUGGGCGUGUUUACAAAGGGUAUUUGGAGAGCACUGGACAGGUGGUUGCUGUAAAACAGCUCGAUCGGAAUGGACUUCAAGGAAACAGGGAAUUUCUUGUUGAGGUUCUCAUGCUUAGCCUCUUGCACCAUACCAACCUCGUUAAUUUGAUUGGUUAUUGUGCUGAUGGGGAUCAGCGCCUCCUCGUUUAUGAGUUUAUGCCAUUGGGAUCGUUAGAGGAUCACUUACAUGAUCUUCCACCAGACAAGGAGCCUCUGGACUGGAACACAAGGAUGAAGAUUGCAGCUGGUGCAGCUAAGGGGUUGGAGUACUUGCAUGACAAAGCAAGUCCACCUGUCAUUUACCGAGAUUUGAAGUCGUCCAACAUCCUUCUUGAUGAGGGCUAUCACCCCAAGUUAUCAGAUUUUGGACUUGCAAAGUUGGGUCCUGUUGGUGAUAAAACCCAUGUCUCUACACGUGUGAUGGGAACGUAUGGUUAUUGUGCCCCUGAAUAUGCUAUGACUGGUCAACUUACUUUAAAAUCCGAUGUCUAUAGCUUUGGAGUUGUCUUUCUUGAACUCAUCACUGGGCGCAAGGCCAUCGAUAAUACCCGGGCUCCUGGAGAGAAUAAUCUUGUUGCAUGGGUGAGUCUUAUUUGCCCUUUCAUCUUCAUUAGGAAACACUUCUGAUAAUUCUAUUAAACUAUUACUGCAUUAUGGCAUUUUCCCUUUUUUUCUCCUUUCCUUUUCUUUUUAAAUGUUGAACUAACAUGAAACAAGAUUUCUUUUUUUUUUUCCCCUCGUUACUGUUGGACAUGGGAUCUUUUAGGCGCGGCCGCUUUUCAAGGAUCGUAGGAAGUUCCCCAAAAUGGCUGAUCCAUUGCUUCAAGGGCGUUAUCCAAUGCGAGGAUUGUAUCAAGCUCUUGCAGUUGCAGCCAUGUGCUUGCAAGAACAAGCAGCCACGAGACCUCUAAUAGGCGAUGUGGUGACUGCACUCACGUACUUAGCUUCCCAAACAUAUGACCCUAAUGCUGCCAAUCAAAGUAACAGAAUUGGGCCAUCUACUCCUAGGAACAGGGACGAUCCAAGGGGGAUGGCAGGUGGGCUGCAUAGCCCAGAUGAACAUGGACAUGAUGGACAGCAUGGUUCUCCUUCUACUCACAAAAAUUCACCUGAUUAUAGAAGGCGUGAUACUGUCUGGGAAUUAAGCAAUGGCGCAGAGUUACGAAGGAGUGAUGCCAGUGGUGGGUCUAGUCGAAAAUGGGGUUUGGAUGACUCUGAGCAACAGGACUCUCAAAGAGAUAAUCCAGUAAAUAACUGUAGAGCAAGGGAAACUUCAAGGAAUCGUGAUUUAGAUAGAGAGCGUGCAGUUGCAGAUGCAAAAGUUUGGGGUCAAAAUUGGAGGGAGAAAAAGCGGGCAAAUGCAAUGGGUAGCUUUAAUGGUACAAAUGAGUAAGAUUGCAGUAGAAGCCCAAUUCAUGUUACUUUCUUUGGUUUGGGCAAUAUAUGUUGUAUGCUUCCAAGGAAAGAAAAGCUGCAUAUACAGCAUCCAUAACCGUCUCGGUUUCUAUUUCCACUCAGGGAAUAACACUACUUGUAUCCAACUUAGACUGCUGUUGUUUUGUCCUAUUUCAUUCUUGCAGUCUGAGUAUGAAAUUGAGUGCUUCAAUUAUACGGUUGAAGGAAGGAGAAAAGAGAGUUCAAAAGAAGGGUGUUCAGGGCAAGAGGGUAAACAUUUGGUUUCAGGCAUUUAAAGGAAACCUCACUGCAGAAUUGAUGUAUGCAACAUGUUAAUCUAUGUAUUUAGGGUUUUUUCUUUUUUUUCUCUUUUCUUUUUGAAGUUGUUGUCACAGAUGGAAGAUAGCUAAUUUUUGCCCCGUGUAUUUGUCCUAAAAUGUGGGGAGACUUGGUGGAUUUGGUGUGGGUGUGUCGUUGGUGUCCAUCUUGUACUCGUAAGUACGGUCUUGUGUAUGGAUUUUCCAGAGACGAUGAUGUUUCGGCUUAUACAGGAAGUUUUCAUGAUAUUCUUCUCCAUAUCUCAUCAUGUUACUCUCUCCUUUAUUUUUCUGUGUCCCUAUUCAUGAUGUUCUUCAAUUAAACCAUCUUACCCAGUGAGAAUUCAUUGUUAUCACUUAGCCAAUUACAAUACAAAAAGAAAAAGAUGAAAAAGAA
RNAcentral lists this unclassified non-coding RNA (2858 nucleotides) under Hevea brasiliensis (rubber tree). The record is from RNAcentral. Lineage: Eukaryota; Viridiplantae; Streptophyta; Magnoliopsida; Malpighiales; Euphorbiaceae.